GCCACCGGGGUCCCUGUGAAGAGACAGGAAGAAGGAGAAGCAAGCGUGGGUGCCAGGAGCUGGAGGGAAGCAGAAAAGGGGUUUGGGAAAAUGAAAAAGUUCUUGGACAGACGAUAAUGGCUACACAAUGAGAAUGUACUUAAUGCUGCUGAAAUGUGCACUUAAAAUGGUUAAGACCAGCCUUGGCAACACAGGGAGACCCCAUCUAAAAAAGUUAGCUGGCUGUGGUAGUGUAUGGGUGUGGUCCCAGCUGCUUGGGAGCGGGAGGAUCACUUGAGACCAGGAGCCUGAGUUUGCAGUAAGCUGUGAUCAAGCCACUGUGCUCCAGCCCCGUCUCUAAAAGACAUGGUUUAAGAUGGUCAAGUUUUGUAGCAUGUGUUAUCACAAUACAGAAGAAUGCACUGAAACUGAA
This is a long non-coding RNA of Sapajus apella (tufted capuchin), 412 nucleotides long. RefSeq lists it as uncharacterized. The transcript is spliced from 2 exons. Lineage: Eukaryota; Metazoa; Chordata; Mammalia; Primates; Cebidae. The record is from RefSeq and is a predicted model, not a curated record.